RNAcentral lists this ribosomal RNA (442 nucleotides) under uncultured bacterium. RNAcentral's name for it is "bacterial SSU rRNA". It matches the Rfam family "Bacterial small subunit ribosomal RNA", at positions 355 to 825 of the family's 1533-position model. The record is from RNAcentral.
UGGGGAAUCUUGGACAAUGGGCGCAAGCCUGAUCCAGCCAUGCCGCGUGAAGGAUGAAGUAUUUCGGUAUGUAAACUUCGAAAGAAUAGGAAGAAUAAAUGACGGUACUAUUUAUAAGGUCCGGCUAACUACGUGCCAGCAGCCGCGGUAAUACGUAGGGACCAAGCGUUGUUCGGAUUUACUGGGCGUAAAGGGCGCGUAGGCGGCAAUUCAAGUCAUCUGUGAAAUCUCCGGGCUUAACUCGGAACGGUCAGAUGAUACUGCUUUGCUAGAGUGCAGAAGGGGCAAUCGGAAUUCUUGGUGUAGCGGUGAAAUGCGUAGAUAUCAGGAGGAACACCGGUGGCGAAGGCGGCUAUCUGGACAGAGUCUGACGCUGAGGCGCGAAAGCUAGGGGAGCAAACAGGAUUAGAUACCCGUCCCUGAGCGGGCUGGCAAGGCGCAU